ACGAACGCUGGCGGUGUGCUUAACACAUGCAAGUCGAACGGUAAGGCCCUUUCGGGGGUACACGAGUGGCGAACGGGUGAGUAACACGUGAGUAACCUGCCCUCAUCUCUGGGAUAACAGCCGGAAACGGUUGCUAAUACUGGAUAUGAGCUUGCAAGGCAUCUUGUGGGUUGGAAAGAUUUUUUUGGUUGGGGAUGGACUCGCGGCCUAUCAGCUUGUUGGUGAGGUAGUGGCUCACCAAAGCUUCGACGGGUAGCCGGCCUGAGAGGGCGACCGGCCACAUUGGGACUGAGAUACGGCCCAAACUCCUACGGGAGGCAGCAGUGGGGAAUAUUGCACAAUGGACGGAAGUCUGAUGCAGCAACGCCGCGUGCGGGAUGACGGCCUUCGGGUUGUAAACCGCUUUCAAUUGUGACGAAGCUUUUUGUGACGGUAGCAGUAGAAGAAGCACCGGCUAACUACGUG
RNAcentral lists this ribosomal RNA (465 nucleotides) under uncultured bacterium. RNAcentral's name for it is "partial 16S ribosomal RNA". It matches the Rfam family "Bacterial small subunit ribosomal RNA", at positions 29 to 507 of the family's 1533-position model. The record is from RNAcentral.